UGCUGCCCACAGCAUGCAGAAGUUCCCCGGCCUGGGAUUGAAUCCACACCACAGAGGUGACAAGGCCAGACCCUUAACCUGCUGAACUACUAGGGAACUUCCGAAACCUUUUGUAAGUCAGUAUUUCUGCUCAACAAAGACAUGCUAUGAAUGGAACUUCUACUGCACGCCCAGCACUACACAAAUGCCAUAUAACAUCAUCACAACAUGGGCAUCAUUAUGGUUAUGAUGCCCAUUCUACAGAUGUGGAAAUUUACUUGGCUUCACACUGAUGUCAAGGGUCAGAGCUAGAAGGAAAAUUCCACAUUCUGUCUCUCAAACUAGCACCUCUCUCCACACACAUACACACCACACUCACACACAUCAGCCGCAUUUAAAGAAAUACUAACUAAGCUUCUACUAAAUGUUUUAUAGUGCAUGGUCACUGAAGAAUAGAAGGACUGGUCAGACUGCACCAUUGCUCUGUAGGCAAUAUGUAAAUAGAGAUAUGAGGCAAUGGUCUAUUAUAGUAAAAUGUCAGUGUUUGAGAUAUAGAAAGAAAUAUCCCGGAAAGCUUACAAAAGGGAGAGUUUUGCAGAGAUAGUAAUUAUAGGAACUGCAUUCCUGGACAGUUCUAGUUUUUAAAUAUUUGAACUAAUGUGCUAAUUUACUUGUCACAUUUCCUAUCACAGUUAUUCGUCCAUAAAAUAUGCUUCUGUGGCUACCAGAGCUGCAUAAAGCCUUGGGGAGGAAGAAAGUCUUAAAGCUGAGCCGUGGUGGCUGGGAAGCAGGUGGGUGGGCUGAGUUGAACACAUGAUGGAUGUGCUUUGGGUUGACGGUGACAAAGAUCGUGCUGUAUUUGGUGAGAAGUCAGGAGAGAGGACAGGUCAGAAUGGUAUGUCUGAUUAGUCUUUGUGGCAUUUGUAAGUUUAUUUUUCCCUCCAAAGGUGAGGCUCAAUAUCAUAGUUUUCCACACAGUCCUUGAGUUGGUCAAGAACAAUGGUCCAGCCUAUUCUAGGAUCAUAUAAAUAAAUGGCAUUGAGAUAGGUCUUUGCUUUUACAGACACCUAGCCCUUUAAGUGCUGAAUUGGCACCAUUGCCACAUACAUCUUUUUCUAGCUUUGUUAAUCUUAUUUUCAGCUUCUGCAAAGAGCAGUAUAUCCAAGGUACAAUCAUUAAUUGAAUAUGAUUCAAUCUGGUCCCAUCUUUAAUAAGAAACCAAAGAAGGAAAUUCAAUUAGGCUCACCCUUUCCAUUUCAAAAGAUCAAGUCCUCCCCUUUCACAGUUAAAAUUAUGAAAGAUUAUCUUCUUUGUGGAAGGCUACAGGAAAAUUUGGAUUCCUGUCAAAUAUUUAGUGUAAUAUCCCAGGAUCGGGAUUAAUAUAGCCUUUCAGCAGCUUGCUCCGAAUUUCUGUCAAUGUAAUCUCUCCUUUGGAAGGUUUUGAAUAAAAGGCAUUCUCUACUCUUGCGUGACUCAAAGUAUUCAGCAGAAAUGGCAGUGAGAUCAGUUUCAGGACAACUUCUCAUGUCUUCUGGUCAUGAAAAUUCAGACACCUCAAUCUCAUUCCCAUAGCUUGGUGUGAUCCCCUAACUCCUUAGAGAAAAUACAAAUCAUUGAAACUAGAUUUUAGGUCUGUGUGAAUAUCUUGGAGUUGAUCUAAAAUCACAAACAACAGCAGCAGUAGAAAAACAAAUAGGAUAGAAUAAAAAAAAAAACUAGUCAUCAUUGCUGGAAUAUUGUUAAAUCCUCCUAGAAAAUAAUAUUAUGAAUAUUUACUAUUAUUAUUAUCAGAGUUAAGGUUUGUUUCCUCUACUUUAGGUUCUUGAUACUCUAAGUGCUUUAUUUUCUCAAACGUGUGUCUGUUUGACUCUAAAGACAUUGGCUUUCACCCCUGAUUCUAACCCCCAAAUUAGAUUGUCUUUUCAACCCCAGUUAAUAGGCCCAUUUUGCAAGAAGGAACUAUCUAUAUCCCAUUAUAUUUUAUACAGGGUUAUCUACAAAUCUUUUUUGGGACCUAGAGUUAUGUGUAAAUAACUGGGACUGUUUUGUCCUCCCAAGCUUUAUUUUGCAGUCUGGUGGCAUGAUGGGUUACAAAUAUAAUCAUAAAAGAGUUUACUUAUGCAAAGCUUUCCAUGUCAUUUCAAUGAGUUCUGCCUCAAAGCACUGAUCAAACAGAAACUUUAGUGUCCCCUGGUAUUCCAGCUAAAAAGUUAAAUAUUUGUAAUAGGCAUCUUGAAGUCAUAUUCCCAAUACUGGCAAGAGCAUUCAUUUCUUUUCAUGCCAUGCUGCCAAAGGCUGGCACCCACCAGCACCUGUGGUUCACACUGAAAUCUGAGUCCUGGGUUGGUGUUUUCUUUUCCAUUAAUGGGUUCUACUGAGCAGGCAAGGUGUGGACUUGCAUCUCUGAAUUGCAGAGCAAAGGAAUAACACUGGCUCCAUCAGCAACUCAAGUUACAAAGAUCCCAAGGGAGAACCAGGUUAGAUUCUGCAGUCACAACAUUCUAGAACAGGGCUUUCACAAAGGAUUUUUAAAUGCAGGCGAAUCCCUUCUUCAAGUGAAAUAUUAUGUGUAAGUCCAGCAAGUAAAAUAGAUAAAAUAAUAACGGCCACUGUUUCUUUGGGUUUUUUUCUGUCACAGGUACCAUGCUAAUCUCCCUGCCUACUUUUCCUUAUUAAAUCUCUAGGAUUGUAUGAGUAGGUGCAUUAUUCUCCCUUAUAAAGCUGGCUUAGAGAGUUUCAAUAACUUAUCCAAGUCAUGUGCCCUCCCGGUGGAGGAACACAAUUCCAACGCAGGCAGCCUGACACCUGAGCUCAGAUCCUUGGCCACAAAAAGCAGACCUGCCUUUGUGAGAACAGAUACAGGCUACAGGUGUUCUGAGGAAUCAUCUAGACUUUGGUCCUCACCCACUUGAUGGCCAUCAACAUCUCUAGGGCCCAGAGAGCACACAGAAGUAUGCAAAGUGACAGUAAACUGAGAAACUCAAGUUUACUCUCUAAAUCAUGCACGCGCACACACACACACACACACACACACACACCUAUCUCACAUGUUCUCUAUCUAUUCAUCCAUUGAUGGAUACAAGCUGAUCUCAUACCUUGUCUAUUGUGAAUAAUCCUGUAACAAAUGCAAUGUAUCUCUUUGAGAUAAAACUUUGGGUUUUUCAGAGGACCCUCCUUAAAAGUUGCUUCUGAAGAUGAUAAGGUAGCUUGCCAGUUAUGUAAUAACCUUCUUCCUUCCUUCAUUUUUUUGAGCAUAUAAACUUGUACCAAGAGUUAGGAACUGAAUUGAGCAUUAAGAUUACAACAAAGAAUAGAACUAUGUUACUAGCACCAGUGAUCCCACAGGUAGGGUGACCACCAAUUUACCAUCCAUGUUAGGACAUUCUUGGGAAUAUAAUGGGGCACUAUUAGUAAUUAAGUGGGGACAAGAGGAAUAGGGCACAAGUGUCCUGAGAAAACUAGCUCCUAGGGGAGUGGGCAUUUCAUGCGUAUGGACCCAUGUUGAUAAUGUCUUACUGAUGCACCGAGAGAGAUAUGAACAGGGUGUACUAUGCACAGAGAAGUAGUGUACCCAAGCAGGUUAGGAUGAAACAGGCCUCUCAGAAAGGGGAUGAUGAAGCAGAGUCCUUAAAGAUGAGUAGGCAUUCACAAGGUGAAGCAUUAAGGAUCGGCAGGCUGUGUAAAAAGAGGUCAUGAGCCCAGGGAAGAAACGGCAGGGUGACAGAGGAGAAUUAACAGCAACUGGAGCAAAAGAUGUGAGGCAGAGACUGUUAGACCAUGCAUAGAGCGGCCAGAAAAAGUUAAGGAAUUUGCAUUUCACUUUCUAGAUGCUGAGCAAUCAUUGAAGACAUGUAAGCAGAGUAGAUAGAGGAACAUUGUCAGUGGAGCUGCCUGGUGCUGCUGUAGGGGAGACAAAACCAGAACCAGAGAGAGGAGCAAGGAAAGUGAUUCCCAAGUCUGAUUCCACAGAAGUCACGUGAGGAUCAUUACAAAAUACCAGUAUCUGGGCCCCGCACCAUCCUGAGUAAAACCACAUCUCUUUGGGUGGAUCCAAGCCCUGGUCAUAUUUUUACCUCCCCAUGUGAUUCUAAGAUGCAGCCGUAAGUGAGAAUCCCUGAGCUAGAAGAACAUCAGUUGAAAUAAAGGAAAGAAAGAAUUGAUCAUUUAGAGCAUACAGUGGUAGUUGUAUGCUCUAAAUAAAUGGGUGUAGUGGAUGGAUUUCAAAAAAAAUUUUUUGAAAGAGAAUGAUAAAUGUAGCAAGAAUUGAUAGUCAGUUGGAUGGGAGUGGAGGGAAGGAGGUGAUCUAUCAAGAGUGGUUCCCUGCUUGGAAGUCUGGGUGAAGGGAAGUGCCUGCAACUGAAGUAACACAUUAAUGAAGAGUAGCUAUUUUACGUGAGAUGAUGGAGAGUUCCAUUUUGAUUAAAAAAAGGAAACAGAGAGAGUUCCCACUGUGGCUCAAUAGGGUCAGUAAUGUCUCUGCAGCUCUGGGACGCAGGUUUGAUCCCCUGCCACAGUGGGUUAAGGAUCCAGCGUUGCAGUGUAGGUUGCAACUGCAGCUCAGAUCCCUGGCUCAGGAAAUCCAUAUGCUGCAGGGCAGCCAAAAAAGAAAAAGGAAACAGAGAAGUCAGUUAUACUCCAAUAAAAUUUAUUGGAAAAAAGGAGAUAGAGAAGAAUAGAGAUGUCAGAGGGCUUCACCUAGCCUUCAUUGUCCAAGAUGGUAGCUCCAAUAUGGUGGCCAUUCGCCACAUCUAAAAGGAAAUCCAUUCUUUGCUAGAUUUUAUUAAUGGGAAAGGCCCUGCCUCUUUCAACCAAAACCUUUUGUAGCUCAGCAGCUUCUCUAACUUAAUUGUAUGUGUGCAUUUAAUCACACACUCAUUAUCUCACUUAAUCUCUUACCCACUCUUUCACCCCAUUGCCAUCCAAGGAGGAGACUGGUGAUGCCACACCCAGAUUAUGAUGAACCCCAUAGAAGCUGGCUAUGUUCCACCUUGGUAAAUCCAGUCUGUCUCCAUUUUCAAUGAUAUGAGCUUUGUGUCUAGCCAUCCUAUUAUCUUGCGGUUCCUAUUAAACACAUAGCUUUCUUUGACUCCAAAAAUGAGAACUGCAUUUUAGUGGUGAGUGAUGUGACUACUAAGUACAUGGAUUAAAAAAAAAAAAAUGAAACGACUCUGGGAUUUUCCAGGAUAAGGAGUCGUUACAGACAUUGUGUUGUCUCAGAUGUCUUGGAGAUUAAAAAGGCCUAAAUCAGCUCCUGAGCAUUUUAUUAGUGAAUCUGUGUCAUUUAAAAAUCCUUCCCUAAAACUUUCCUACCCACCCUCCAACCCCCACUUGAAUGAAGAAGUAAUUAAGGAUGAGAUCAGAAUCUCCACUUCAUCUUGACCCAUUCCAGAUGGUGUAGUAGUCAUGGCUUUAUCAGUAAAGAGUAGAAGGGCAGGCCGGGGCUUUGCCAAGAAAAUAGUACUUGCAUUAAUUCAGUCAUUUAGAUUUGUGUCAAGACUCUCACUGUCUUUUAUCUAAUACUGUCCAUUGCUCUCUUCUAAUUCAAUCUGCUGAUGCAUUCAGGUGUGUGUACCCUGCACCCUGGAAUUGUUUCUGAAAGGUGCCUGUAUUGUCAGUCCUGUGUUGAAUUAUCAGGCUUUGAAGAUACAAGGAAAUGCUGUCCUUUCAAGAAAUCCUGGUAGAAAAUGCUUUAUAGUCAACCUUUGUUAACUAUAUUCAGCAAUUGUUCAUGAAUCACCUACUAUGUGCCAGAGUGAUGUUGGGUUCUAGAGAAUAGCCUUAUAUAAACCAUGCUCUUAAGAUGUCCAUGAUCUCAUAUUGGAAAGUCUAUGGUUCUCAUGUUGGGCACUAUUCAGAGUGUUCUUACAUAUUUAACUCACUUCAAUAUCACAAUAACACUGUGAAGUUGAUAUUGUCAUAAGCAACCCCAUGUUGCAGAUGAGGAAACAGGAAUAUAGAAUUUAGUGCCACAUCCCGUAUCAUACAGCUAAUAAAGGCUGAACUGGCAUUAGAACAAGGCUGUCCAUCUCCAGUCUUUGCUCCUAACCACUAGGCUUUACUUUCUCUUCUCCACCCCUCUAUGACUGCCAAUGGAGGACAAAAGGAAAACUCCCCUUGAAAUUAACUUAUACGGAGUUCCUGUUGUGCCCCAGCGAAAAUGAAUCCAACUAGGAACCAUGAGGUUGCAGAUUCGAUCCCUGGCCUUGCUCAGUGGUUUAGGGAAUUGGCCUUGCCAUGAGCUGUGGUGUAGGUCACAGACUCGGCUCAGAUCUGAUGUUGCUGAGGCUGUGGCGUAGGCUGGCAGCUACAGCUCCGAUUCGACCCCUAGCCUGGGAACCUCCACAUGCCAUAGGUG
This 6334-nucleotide long non-coding RNA is filed under the name Sus scrofa (pig). Its description in RNAcentral is "lncRNA (ENSSSCG00000059083.1)". Lineage: Eukaryota; Metazoa; Chordata; Mammalia; Artiodactyla; Suidae. The record is from RNAcentral.